CGCCCAGACUUUUUUGCUGGUGAAGAAGUUGAGAGGCUAGCUAUGACCGAGCUAAUAGAGGUCAUUUCAGAAGAGAACAAAUCUGGACCUCUGAUUGUGUUACUUAAGGAUGUAGAGAAAUCAUUCAUUGGAGUUACCGAGUCACUUUCAUCUUUGCGGAGCAAAUUUAAUCGCUUCCAUCUGGUGUUCUUAUUAUAGGAUCCCACACUCAGAUCUAAAUAAUUAAAUUUACAUGAUGAAGCUCUACUUACAGAUUGGAAGCAGCAGUUGGAUCGUGAUGUUGAAACCCUUAAAGCCAAAUCAAACAUUGGUAGCAUUCGCACGGACUGAGAUUGAUGGAUAUUGUGAAGGUGAACUAAUCAAGGUACCUUUGAUCUUUUAGGGAGUCAGCGGCCUUGCAAUCCCCCUCUGCAACCAUAAGAAUUUUUGUGUGCUACAGAUUUAGUACUGAUGAAUCCCUCUAUGAAGUUCCAAACAGCUGCACAAAUCUUAAGGUGUGCCUCUCUUAUUUUUUGCUGAAUCUCAAGCACUUUAGUUCGUGGUGCUUGCAAACAGCAAUUGCACUAGCAGACGUGAUGCUUUCAUUCUCUGUGAUAUUGUUUUCAGAGAGAGGUAGGAACAACAAUGGUCGUUGUUGCUGCACAAACAAAGGCUAUUGCUGGUAACUUUUACUUGUUAUAUUAUUUAAGCAUAUUAUAUAGACUAGACAUUUGCUACUUUGCUUUCUGAUCAUAUUAUGUUUUUGAUUUAUUCCUGCAUCUGUUCAAUAUAAAUAACCUGAUGGCUGCUGUAGAAAUUAAUCUGCAACUUAGUGUUGUUUCUUGACAGUACUCUUACAAGAUAGUGGUAAAAAUGUCCACUAUGUAAAAAAUUUGCUCUGAAAUGUUCUGGCCACCAU
Molecule: long non-coding RNA, 898 nt
Organism: Zea mays
Lineage: Eukaryota; Viridiplantae; Streptophyta; Magnoliopsida; Poales; Poaceae
Exons: 5
Source: RefSeq, a predicted model, not a curated record